CGGGGGAGGCCGGAUCCUGGGCUGUGUCCGGGUGCCCUGUGCUCUAGGGCCUGCGCUGUUGGAUUCGCGCUCCCGCCCCGCAGCCCCCU
RNAcentral lists this microRNA precursor (89 nucleotides) under Canis lupus familiaris (dog). RNAcentral describes it as "mir-8799 microRNA precursor family". It matches the Rfam family "mir-8799 microRNA precursor family". Lineage: Eukaryota; Metazoa; Chordata; Mammalia; Carnivora; Canidae. The record is from Rfam by way of RNAcentral.